CCUACGGGGGGCAGCAGUAGGGAAUAUUGCUCAAUGGGGGAAACCCUGAAGCAGCAACGCCGCGUGGAGGAUGAAGGUUUUCGGAUUGUAAACUCCUUUUGUUAGAGAAGAUAAUGACGGUAUCUAACGAAUAAGCACCGGCUACCUCCGUGCCAGGAGCCGCGGUAAUACGGAGGGAGCAAGCGUUACUCGGAACCACUGGGCGUAAAGAGCGCGUAGGCGGGAUAGCAAGUCAGAUGUGAAAUCCUAUGGCUUAACCAUAGAACUGCAGUUGAAACUGUUAUUCUAGAGUAUGGGAGAGGUAGGUGGAAUUCGUGGUGUAGGGGUAAAAUGCGUAGAGAUCAAGAGGAAUACUCAUUGCGAAGGCGACCUGCUAGAACCUAACUGACGCUGAUGCGCGAAAGCGUGGGGAGCAAACAGGAUUAGAUACCCUGGUAGUC
Molecule: ribosomal RNA, 440 nt
Filed under: uncultured bacterium
Lineage: Bacteria
Description: partial 16S ribosomal RNA
Rfam family: Bacterial small subunit ribosomal RNA
Source: RNAcentral